CCCCCUCCUUGAUCUCUCUUCUAUCUCUUCUAUUAUGAAGGUGUUUGGUUGAGGAGAGUGGGGGAAUUGAAAUGGAUGACUCUCGUUCCAACUGUUUGGUUGGAAGGAGUCCUAUUCUGAUUCUGAUUUCAGAGUGGAAUGAAAAUGGCUCAAUCUAUAUAGAACUCAAUUCCUACUCUCCUCUAUGAAUUCAAUUUUUUAUUUCAAUUUUGAUUCCGAUCAUGAACCAAACGUUUCAGAAGAUUUAACCAUUCCGAUUCCGAUUCUAAGCCAUUUUGAUUUUUAUUUCUAUUUUAAUUUUGAUUGC
Molecule: long non-coding RNA, 307 nt
Filed under: Elaeis guineensis (African oil palm)
Lineage: Eukaryota; Viridiplantae; Streptophyta; Magnoliopsida; Arecales; Arecaceae
Description: long non-coding RNA (EGUI_LNC039116)
Source: RNAcentral